GGUGUAUAACUUAGUGCUGAUGUCAAAGCUGAUUUCCACACAUAAGAUUUAGAUUUCGUGUUCAGAUUCUCUGCUGUCUGGUAUUGGAACGUGAAUUAGAAAUGUCAGCGCAAGCUUUACUACAAGCAACCAAGCUAUCUUUUACCAAGGAGAAUGGAUUUUUGGUCUUAAUCUUAACUGGCCUUGUUGUUGCAGAAAACUUUGUUGAGAAAGACUUUCACUGCCCUUGCAAAUCCGACUUUAGAGAAACGCUUGUCUUUUUCUACCUGUUCAUACCUGCCUUUGUCAUUUUUGCUGUCGUGUUUUGCAUUAUGUGUGAGCUGGAAAGGCAGAAAUCUAAUAAGGAAACUCAAAAGCAGAAAUCUAUUGAAGAAACUCAAAAGCAGAAAUCUAUCGAAGAAACUCAAAAGCAGAAAUCUAUCGAAGAAACUCAAAAGCAGAAAUCUAACAGGGGAACUCAGAUAUGUGGAAGACCUAAUGGAUCUUCAUGUAAACAGAUUUUUUUUUUUAGCUUGUGGUGUUCUAUUCCAAGUACUUUUUGGAUACUGUUGUUCUUCUGUGAUGGCAGAUAUUGGGCUUGUUAUCAUACUACAUUUGAAGGAGAUGCUGACAGCACUAAAGACCCUCCAUGGGAAUGGUGUAACACAAACCGAACAUUGACUGCUGACCAGAAGAAAGCAGAGAGAGCAUAUAACAACUCUAAGUAUGGAGGUUUCAUUGCCCUCUUGGUCAUCUCAUUUAUACUACUGAUGUCAUAUAUUAUAUUUAAUUGCUGCUGUAGAGAACAUGGAGUCUCCAGUGAACAGACCAGGGCAGAGAAGGGCACUGCUGAGGCACAGGAAAGCAGUGGACAGAGGACAACUACACAUAUGGUGCAAGAGUCUGAAAUGACUCCAUUGCAAGGCACUGCUGGGACAGAGGAAGGCCGAAGAUAGCAGACCACUACAAUUCAACAAUCAGUUUAGAACGAAGAGAUAACAAGAUUUUCAAGAAAGCAUCAGUUCAUCAUUGUAACAUGACCUACCACCCUGCAGAGUUUAGCUACAACCCUAAUUUAAUACACCUGGUCCAGGUAAUAAAGGCCUUCAGGAGCGUCUGAAUAUUAGAGUCAGGCGUGUUGGAAAUGAACUCUCCAGGGUGGUAGAUCUCUAGAACCAUGAUUGGGCCUUAGGAGAUGAUGUUAAAUCCUGGAAGGUCUGAUUUCUAAAGAAAAUGUAAUAAAUCAGGUAUUAUUUUGUGUAGAACCGUUAAUAAAUUUCACAAAAUUUUCAAAAAAGAUAAUUGGAGUGAUUUGAGUUAUUUUUUGAUUUUUAUCAUGCCUCAGCCUCAAAAAUGCAAGCUAGCCUAUGCAGAGGUA
This is a long non-coding RNA of Colossoma macropomum (tambaqui), 1357 nucleotides long. RefSeq lists it as uncharacterized. The transcript has 4 exons. The record is from RefSeq and is a predicted model, not a curated record. Lineage: Eukaryota; Metazoa; Chordata; Actinopteri; Characiformes; Serrasalmidae.